AGCAGCCGCGGUAAUUCCAGCUCCAAUAGCGUAUAUUAAAGUUGUUGCAGUUAAAAAGCUCGUAGUUGAAUUUCGGGGCCAGUAGGUUGGUCGUGCCACUGGUAUGCACUGGCCUUACUGGUCCCUCCCUCUUGUAGAACCGUGAUGCCAUUAAUUUGGUGUUGCGGGGAAACAGGACUGUUACUUUGAAAAAUUAGAGUGCUUAAAGCAGGCUCGCGCUUGAAUACAUUAGCAUGGAAUAACGGAAUAGGACGAUCGAACCUAUUUUGUUGGUUUCUAGGAUCGACGUAAUGAUUAAUAGGGAUAGUUGGGGGCAUUAGUAUUCAAUUGUCAGAGGUGAAAUUCUUGGAUUUAUUGAAGACUAACUACUGCGAAAGCAUUUGCCAAGGAUGUUUUCAUUAAUCAAGAACGAAAGUUAGGGGAUCGAGGACGAUCAGAUACCGUCGUAGUCUUAACCAUAAACUAUGCCGACUAGGGAUUGGAUGAAGUUAAUUUUUAAUGACUCAUUCGGCGCCUUACG
RNAcentral lists this ribosomal RNA (520 nucleotides) under uncultured Glomus. RNAcentral describes it as "SSU rRNA". It matches the Rfam family "Eukaryotic small subunit ribosomal RNA", at positions 569 to 1092 of the family's 1831-position model. Lineage: Eukaryota; Fungi; Glomeromycota; Glomeromycetes; Glomerales; Glomeraceae. The record is from RNAcentral.